CGCAAGCCUGACGGAGCAAUACCGCGCGAGGGAGGAAGGCCUUUGGGUUGUAAACCUCAAAAAUUAGGGAAGAAGAAAGUGACGGUACCUAAUAUAAGCAUCGGCUAACUCCGUGCCAGCAGCCGCGGUAAUACGGAGGAUGCAAGCGUUAUCCGGAAUCAUUGGGCGUAAAGAGUCCGUAGGUGGCUAAUCAAGUCCGAAGUUAAAGACAGAAGCUAAACUUCGGAGAGGCGGUGGAAACUGAAAAGCUAGAGUACAGAAGGGGUAGAGGGAAUUCCCAGUGUAGCGGUGAAAUGCGUAGAGAUUGGGAAGAACACCAGUGGCGAAGGCGCUCUACUGGGCUUGUACUGACGCUGAGGGACGAAAGCUAGGGUAGCG
This 378-nucleotide ribosomal RNA is filed under the name uncultured cyanobacterium. RNAcentral describes it as "bacterial SSU rRNA". It matches the Rfam family "Bacterial small subunit ribosomal RNA", at positions 376 to 770 of the family's 1533-position model. The record is from RNAcentral. Lineage: Bacteria; Bacillati; Cyanobacteriota.